Molecule: ribosomal RNA, 253 nt
Filed under: uncultured bacterium
Lineage: Bacteria
Description: partial 16S ribosomal RNA
Rfam family: Bacterial small subunit ribosomal RNA
Source: RNAcentral
UACGUAGGGGGCUAGCGUUGUCCGGAAUCAUUGGGCGCAAAGCGCGUGUAGGCGGUCCGGUAAGUCCGCUGUGAAAGUCGAGGGCUCAACCCUCGAAUGCCGGUGGAUACUGUCGGGCUUGAGUACGGGAGAGGCGAGUGGAAUUCCUGGUGUAGCGGUGAAAUGCGCAGAUAUCAGGAGGAACACCGAUUGCGAAGGCAGCUCGCUGGAACGUUACUGACGCUGAGACGCGAAAGCGUGGGGAGCAAACAGG